RNAcentral lists this ribosomal RNA (253 nucleotides) under uncultured bacterium. Its description in RNAcentral is "partial 16S ribosomal RNA". It matches the Rfam family "Bacterial small subunit ribosomal RNA", at positions 524 to 776 of the family's 1533-position model. The record is from RNAcentral.
GACGUAGGGCGCGAGCGUUGUCCGGAUUUAUUGGGCGUAAAGCGCGCGCAGGCGGUCUCUUAAGUCUGAUGUGAAAGCCCACGGCUCAACCGUGGAGGGUCAUUGGAAACUGGGGGACUUGAGUACUGGAGAGGAGAGUGGAAUUCCAUGUGUAGCGGUGAAAUGCGUAGAUAUAUGGAGGAACACCAGUGGCGAAGGCGGCUCUCUGGCCAGUAACUGACGCUGAGGCGCGAAAGCGUGGGGAGCAAACAGG